Molecule: ribosomal RNA, 120 nt
Filed under: Helictotrichon sarracenorum
Lineage: Eukaryota; Viridiplantae; Streptophyta; Magnoliopsida; Poales; Poaceae
Source: RNAcentral
GGAUGCGAUCAAACCAGGCACUAAAGCACCGGAUCCCAUCGGAACUCCGAAGUUAAGCGUGCUUGGGCGAGAGUAGUACUAGGAUGGGUGACCUCCUGGGAAGUCCUCGUGUUGCAUCCC